GGGCCAGCCCUCCUGCCUCGAGGCCACUGUCAUUUGGGGGUGGGAAAAAAGUGACCGGGGGCAACUGAGCAAAGCGCAGAACAGAAACUCCCUCUCAGUAGAGACCCAUGCACGGAAGGACGAUACACUGCGAUUCCCCGACGUGGGCCUGCAGCGAGAGACGGUGCUAACAGCAUCCCAGCCAAUCUGUAAGCAUCAGGGGGACGAAGGAAUGGUCAACAAGAGGCAGAACCGCAACUGCUCCAAUGCAGAAAGAAUGAGUCAUCCAGGAAGGCAAGUGCCUAAACCACCUGAUGCAUGUAUUUAUUGCGGGUGCUUAUCACACAUGCAGUCAACGAACGCCUCACAAAUGUAUGGUUUACAUAGUCUUUGAUGAACGCAUCUAUUGCUGGAUGUUUCACAUACAGUCUUUGAUGAACACAUCUAUCGCAUCCAGCAGCAUAUCUGUAUUGAAAAAGUCCUUCCAUAGCAUCCAGUAAUGAAAAGGAAGGUGGCAGGGAGCAGUAAUGGACAGUAAAACUAAAAACACCAGGAAGAUCCACAGUGAGAUCAGCAGAACCCUAGGAUGGCAAAUCCACGACAAAAUUUCUGUUGAAUAAAAACGUGCUUGGGUCCAGCCAGCCAUCAGCUUCUUUCAGACACUAUUGACUGCAACAAACUCUAGCACAAGGAGAGAGUCUAAAGAGAAACUUGUUCAGAGGAUGCUGGACCAUCCAUCAGUGAGCACAGCAAACCCGAAAAGGCGGGGACAUGGCAGAACAGGGGCUGCAGGCACACUUGCUGCGUUGUUGAUGGAGCACACACAGAAAGGUCUGCCCAAGACAGUCCCAAAAGGCACAAUUCUACAGAAUCAACCAAGUGGAGGGGAAUGGCAGUGAAAUGCCAAACUCCUGCUGAAAGGUUGACGGGUACAGCCUUCCAGAGACAGCAGUGGGUGACGGGGACCCGGGCACCCAGAGGUCCAGAUCAGCAAAAGAGGCCAGUGACUCUGUCUCCAUCAGAUAAAUUCAGCCACAGUGGGAGGGAGCGUGUGAGACCGACGAAGGCCUCGCCCUGGAUCUGCACUUCACCCUGGUCCAGAGAGAAUUCAGUGGCCAGCAACACUGCCAGUUCCCCUUUAUUUCCCUUGAGGUCAACAUGUUGGAAUUCUCUACUCACAUCCACCAAGACACCCUCCUCGGCCACCUCCACACUCACACUCCAGGCCCACCACUGCCCUUGGGCAUGAGCAAGCCUGACGGUGUCUCUACGUCCUGGUAACACCUUCUUCCCCCGCACACCCCGUCAAACACAUGCAAGUUGUAGACUGAAGUCAUCGGGUCUCCUUAACCAGGCUGCAGCCCCCUAGCACCCUGCCAUGUGGCCUCACAGCUGACGGGGGAACAAACAAGCACCUUCAGACUGGGGCAGCUUCUGAGUGAUAUGCAGAGUUAACUGGGGCACAGAUAAAACAGAAUUUUCCCAAGAUUGCUGAAGGAAAACUAAAACCAAAUAAGGACUGA
Macaca mulatta (Rhesus monkey) is the source of this 1502-nucleotide non-coding RNA. The record is from RefSeq and is a predicted model, not a curated record. Lineage: Eukaryota; Metazoa; Chordata; Mammalia; Primates; Cercopithecidae.